GUGUCAGCCGCCGCGGUAAGACGUAGGGGGCAAGCGUUGCUCGGAAUCACUGGGCUUAAAGGGCGCGUAGGCGGUUGUGUAAGUCCAGGGUUGAAGGCCCCGGCUCAACCGGGGAAAGGCCUUGGAGACCGCAUGACUUGAGUGAGCGAGGGGAGGGCGGAAUUCCUGGUGUAGCGGUGAAAUUCGUAGAUAUUGGGAAGAACACCGGUGGCGAAGGCGGCUACCUGGCCGGUAACUUACGCUGAGGUGCGAGGGCGUGGGGAGCAAACAGGAUUAGAUACCCUGGUAGUCCACGCUGUAAACGAUGGGCGCUAGGUGUUGGUGGUUAGUAGCCAUCAGUGCCGAAGCUAACGCGUUAAGCGCCCCGCCUGGGGAGUACGGCCGCAAGGCUGAAACUUAAAUGAAUUGACGGGG
This 414-nucleotide ribosomal RNA is filed under the name uncultured prokaryote. RNAcentral's name for it is "bacterial SSU rRNA". It matches the Rfam family "Bacterial small subunit ribosomal RNA", at positions 505 to 918 of the family's 1533-position model. The record is from RNAcentral.